CAUACGAGAUCUUCAUGCGUGACUGGAGUUCAGACGUGUGCUCUUCCGAUUAAGUUGGCUUAGAAGCAGCCAUCUUUUAAAGAUAGCGUAACAGCUCACUGGUCUAAUUAAGUUGUCCUGCGGCGAAGAUGUAACGGGGCUCAAGCCAUGAGCCGAAACUUCGGAUGCAUUUAAUGCAUGGUAGCGGAGCGUAGUGUGACAUAGUUCCAUGCGUCCUUCGUUUUAUAGCGGACUGCCCAGGCUUUCGAGCCUGUGUGGAGGCGCGUAAAAUACUGGACGCAAGGAGCUUUCUGUGAAGCCGGCCUGUGAGGGAUCCGGUGGAGAGAUCACUAGUGAGAAUGAUGACAUGAGUAACGACAAAGGGGGUGAGAGACCCCCUCGCCGAAAAUCCAAGGGUUCCUGCUUAAAGCUAAUCUGAGCAGGGUAAGCCGGCCCCUAAGCCGAGGGCGAAAGCCGUAGGCGAUGGGAACCAGGUUAAUAUUCCUGGGCCAGGAGGAAGUGACGGAUCACAAAGAUUGUUGGAUCAGGCGUAGUUGCCCCAGCAGUUCAGUGGUUCCUGGAAAUAGCCCUCCAUCAGACCGUACCCUAAACCGACACAGGUGGAUAGGUAGAGUAUACCAAGGCGCUUGAGAGAACUAUGUUGAAGGAACUCGGCAAAAUACCUCCGUAAGUUCGCGAGAAGGAGGCCCGGUUCCUAGGCAACUAGGGGCUGGGGGCACAAACCAGGGGGUGGCGACUGUUUACUAAAAACACAGGGCUCUGCGAAGUCGCAAGACGACGUAUAGGGUCUGACGCCUGCCCGGUGCCUGAAGGUUAAAAGGAGGGGUGAGAGCUCUGAAUUGAAGCCCAGGUAAACGGCGGCCGUAACUAUAACGGUCCUAAGGUAGCGAAAUUCCUUGUCGGGUAAGUUCCGACCUGCACGAAUGGCGUAACGACUUCCCCGCUGUCUCCAACAUAGACUCAGUGAAAUUGAAUUGCCUGUCAAGAUGCAGGCUUCCCGCGGUUAGACGGAAAGACCCCGUGCACCUUUACUACAACUUUACACUGAUAACAGGCACAACAUGUGCAGAAUAGGUGGUAGGCUUUGAAGCAGAAACGCCAGUUUUUGUGGAGCCUCCUUUGAGAUACCACCCUUGUUUUGCUUGUUAUCUAACUGCGGUCCGUUAUCCGGAUCCAGGACCCUGUAUGGUGGGUAGUUUGACUGGGGCGGUCGCCUCCUAAAGCGUAACGGAGGCGCGCGAAGGUUGGCUCAGAGCGGUCGGAAAUCGCUCGUUGAGUG
This 1279-nucleotide ribosomal RNA is filed under the name marine metagenome. RNAcentral describes it as "bacterial LSU rRNA". It matches the Rfam family "Bacterial large subunit ribosomal RNA", at positions 1036 to 2351 of the family's 2925-position model. The record is from RNAcentral.